Molecule: ribosomal RNA, 253 nt
Filed under: uncultured bacterium
Lineage: Bacteria
Description: partial 16S ribosomal RNA
Rfam family: Bacterial small subunit ribosomal RNA
Source: RNAcentral
UACAGAGGUCUCGAGCGUUAAUCGGAGUCACUGGGCUUAAAGGGUGCGUAGGCUGUUCUAUAAGUGCCUUGUGAAAUCCCACCGCUCAACGGUGGAAUUGCUCGGUAGACUAUAGAACUUGAGGUUGGUAGGGGCUGCCGGAACUCUAGGUGGAGCGGUGAAAUGCGUAGAUAUCUAGAGGAACGCCAAAGGUGAAGACAGGCAGCUGGGCCAAUACUGACGCUCAUGCACGAAAGCGUGGGGAGCAAACAGG